Molecule: ribosomal RNA, 510 nt
Filed under: uncultured bacterium
Lineage: Bacteria
Description: bacterial SSU rRNA
Rfam family: Bacterial small subunit ribosomal RNA
Source: RNAcentral
GACGAACGCUGGCGGCGUGCCUAACACAUGCAAGUCGAACGAAGUAAGUUGCUUCACCAAGUGUUGAAUAGCUACCCCCAAGCGCAUUUGCCAAAGGGUAAGCAAAAAGUACUAUCAAUUAAAUAAAAUGGUGAAACAAAAGAAUAGCGAAGAAGAAGCAAAUGCGCUUCACGCUAAUUCCAAGUACCAACACAAAACAAAUUCAAUGUUUGGUGAAGCAACUUGCUUAGUGGCGGACGGGUGAGUAACGCGUGAACAAUCUGCCCCGUACAAAGGGAUAGCCUCGGGAAACCGGGAUUAAAACCAUAUAACACUUAACUGCCGCAUGGGUAGUGAAGUCAAAUCGAUUAAGAGGUAUGGGAUGAGUUCGCGUCUGAUUAGCUAGUUGGUGAGGUAAGGGCUCACCAAGGCGACGAUCAGUAGCCGGCCUGAGAGGGUGAACGGCCACACUGGAACUGAGACACGGUCCAGACUCCUACGGGAGGCAGCAGUGGGGAAUAUUGCACAAUA